Long non-coding RNA from Carcharodon carcharias (great white shark), 2502 nucleotides. RefSeq lists it as uncharacterized. The record is from RefSeq and is a predicted model, not a curated record. NCBI's taxonomy places the organism in Eukaryota, Metazoa, Chordata, Chondrichthyes, Lamniformes, Lamnidae. The transcript is spliced from 2 exons.
CAUGCGCAUUGUUGACGAUGGUGGUGACUGAAGCGGCUGUGGGUCAAGAGGGAGGAAAGGAGCCAGCAGUGAUGAGUUUUCUAGUUCCUUUUCUAGAAUAUUAGAACAGAUGGAUUUACAGACAGGAGGCUCAAACCGAACAUCACAGCAUAAACUGACAGAGUCACUCGAUUCAUCAGGAGCUGAAGAUCAUCAGCCUGUCAAUAUGGAUGGAGAAAUGUUUGCCUGUUCAGUCUGUGGGGAAAUGUUUCAAACAUCAGUGUGACUGGAAAAUCACCAAGACACACAUUCACCUGAGUGAGAGUGUUCCAGUAAACUGACUGUGGAAAGUGCUUUAACCAUUUACACAGCCUGAAAAAACUUCACACCAUUCAUAAUGGGGAUAAACUGUACAUGUGUUCUGUGUGUCUGGACAAGGCUUCAACUGAUCGUUGAACCUUAAGAGACACAAAGACAGCAGCACUAUGGAGAAACCAUGGAAAUGUGAGGACUGUGGUAAAGGAUUCCAUUCUUCAUUUCGGCUGGAAAUCCAUCAGCGCAUUCACACACGGGAGAAUGUGUUCAACUAUUCUGUGUGUGGGAAGGGAUUCACUCGGUCAUCCGGCCUUCAGUCACACCAGCGGGUUCACAUUGAGAAGAAGCCAUUCAGUUGCACAACCUGAGGACACAGCUUCAAGUCUUCAUCCAUCCUCACUGAACACCAACGGAUUCACACGGGUGGAAGACCAUUCACUUGCUUCGUGUGUGGAAAGGGAUUCACUCAGGUAAUCUCCCUCCAGUCACACCAUCAAACGAAGGAGAAUCCAUUCAGCUGUACUUCCUGUGGAAAGAGUUUCAGGCAAUCAACCAACCUCAACGAACACCAAUGAACACUGGGGAGAAGCUGUUCACCUGCUCCGUGUGUGGGAAGGGAUUCCCUUGGUCAUCCCAACUGCUGACACAUCAGUGAGUUCACACUGGGGACAGACCAUUCACCUGUUUCUUGUGUGGGGCGGGAUUCACUCAGUCACAACACCUGCUGAGACACGAACGAGUUCACAAGUGAUUACAAUGGUUGGACUCUGCUGUUGUUGCUGCUGUUAAUCACACCCAGGAUCGAUAGUCUGACAAUAUUAGGUUUGUUUUUGCUGAUAUUCACAACCUUAUAACUAGCUGGAGUUUAAUAUUCUGGAGAUGUCACCGACUUUCGGGGUUGCAAUGUCCCUUUUGAAAGCACAAUUUGUGAUCUUUCCCCUUAAUACAAGAACUCUUCUCAAUUACAAAUUUACAAUAAAAUUAUGAACUGUUACUUCAAUCCUAAAUUGAUAUUUGAUGCGAAAUCCAUAAUUUGGUGUCAGAAAAGUUCCACUUUUUACAUCUCUGGUUAUAAAGUGCUGAUUAAUCCUUGCUAACAAUUCUUACUGACUUGCACAUUCUUCAGUGACACCUUCAUCAUGAGAUUAAAUUAAUAAGGAACAUUAAACAAAGCUGUAAAUACUUUACAUGCACAUCAAUAAAAGCUUCAUCAAUCAACAUUGAUAUUGAUGAAGUUUGGAAGUCGCUGAGUUCCAUCAUUUCUGACACAGCAGCAGCAACAUUUGGUAAAGGUGGAACCCACAACAAAGGCUGGUUUGAGACCUAUUCAGCAGAGAUGACAUCUGUCAUUGAAGCAAAAAGCAAAGCCAACCUGAUGCACAACAUAAACCCAACAGCUAGAACACUGCAUAACUUGAAAGUAGUCAAGACAGUCAUGUAAAAGACAGGGAGAUCCUGUGCAAAUAAAUAGUGGAUCAGCCUAUAUUAAGAAAUCCAAAGUGCCUGUGACCAGUGGAAUGUGCUAUGUAUGAUGGGAUCAAGAAGGUGCUUGGUCCGACCAUCACCAAAGUUGACCCCUGAAAUCAUGGAUGGUGACGUACUCACUGACAGAAGUAAACAAAUGUCCCAGUGGGUUGAACAUUACUGUGAGCUGUGCUCCUGUGAGACGUACAUCUCUCAGUCUCCGUUUGACUCUCCUGCAGCUUCCCAUCAUGGUUGAGUUGGAUGAGGAACCCACAUCAUUUGAGUUUGAAAAGGCCAAUUAUAGCUUAGCAAGCAGUAAAUCACCCAACAAGGAAAGAGUUCUAACCAAACUGCUCAGGCACAGGAAAUGCCAGAUAUUGUGACCACCUCCUUCUCUGAAAAGACGGAUCUGUUCCGCAAGAUAUGCAUGAUGCAAAACUCAUCACAAUAUACAAAAACAAUGGUGACAGAGGAGAUUGCAGCAACUACAGGGGUAUUUCAUUCCUUAGCAUCACAGGGAAGACCUUCACUGCGGUCAUGCUUCAACACUUUAACUUUUUGCAGACUGAGUGUACCCAGAAGCAAAGUGCAGUUUCUGUGCUGGCGGAUCUACAGUGGACAUGAUCUUCUCCAUACACCAGCUACAAGAGAAGCAUACCAUUGGGAUUUAAAAUACUGCCAGCUUCUGUGCUGAGAAAAGUGAAAUGUUACAAUUACUGAUGAAAUUAAACUUUUUAGCAUUAA